GGCUGAGAAGAAAGAGAAUAAGAAAGCGCCUACACCAUUCUCACCAUCACCCACCCACUCACUCAUUGCCUCAUGUUUUUCCGAUCGUGGUGACCCAUUGAUCACGGGAAGGCACCCGUGUUUUGUACCGUUGCACCCUGUUCUCUGCCACCGCUACCAAGUGACGCUGCAGGAUUUCCCCUCGACCUGUUGCCGUCAACGAGCUAUAGCGUGUGCUGGAAAAGUUUUAAAGCCGACCACUCGGUCGGGCUUCGUGACACUCGGUUUGGUUCAGAGACUCGAAGCGCGAGAGAGGAGUAAGAAAAACAUCACUCGACAUCCUGCCCUCAUUUCACGAUGAGGACCGACUUGCUGACUUUCUUGCUUCUCGUGUUUGCCUUUGGCGCUUUGACGGACAUGGCAGCAGCAUACGAAGUGACCCACUUCGACAUAGGUCUUGGAUGCCCGAAUUCAUUGCUGACUUGUUCCCAAGAAUGCCGAAGUACUUACGGUCAUAGAGGAGGAUACUGCAAUGGGCCGUUCAACAUUGUCUGUACCUGCACCUAACCAGACAUCAAAAGGGACUUGCGACGCGGCCACUACGUCGCUAUUCGUGAUCAUCACAAUCAAGUCACAAGUCGAAUGAUCAUCAGACGAAUGGUGAUUGCGUCACUAUUCGUGUUCAGAGUCUUUUUAAGGGUCACUGACUGAUGUGCUAAUUGACGUGGUAUAUAGCUAAGCAUUGUACCAUAAAAAUGGUCUAUUUCAUUACACUACCUCAAUGUUAUUUAUGGACGUUAAUUUAUCCUAUGUCAGGAAUAAAGGUUCUUUGUUACAGGUAGGUUUCUCAUCUAGUGAACCCCAACUGAUGUUUCUAGCUAGACGCGCUUUUGAUGUGGUUGUAUGCAAUAUGUGUGGAUAUGUGGAAGUGAUUAUACUUCGCGUGUACCAUUAGUUCUUUCUUUUAUCUCUUUUUAUUCUUUCUUUAAAUCUUGUCCUUGUGCUUCUCAAUGAACACAAACAUUUUCGGCUACUUUUUAUUGUUUUUCGGAGCCGUGGAAUUCAUGCGAAACCUAUUGUUCUUUUUUUUUCUUUGGGGAGAGGGUAUUGCCAUGCUGUGUUGGUAGCAGAAGAAGAGAGCGAACAAGUGAUUGGGUGCAAUGGCUGAGUAAACAGUCGUUUGCUUCGAGUACCGGUUUGUCGUUUCCUCUUGCGACAAUAGUAUUAGCCAUGAAUUGCUAUGGCUG
Molecule: long non-coding RNA, 1226 nt
Organism: Rhipicephalus microplus (southern cattle tick)
Lineage: Eukaryota; Metazoa; Arthropoda; Arachnida; Ixodida; Ixodidae
Source: RefSeq, a predicted model, not a curated record